CGGGUUAUAGAAGCCAAAGCCAGUGAGGAGGUUUCCAGGGGCCAGGUCUCCAAAAGCAGCAUAGCCCAUGCAGCCACAGAGCAUGUAAAACAGUGUGGUCACUAUAACACUAAGAAGAGUGGCCUUCUUCAUUGUCUUCUUCUCUGAUGGAGGAGAUUUGAUUGUGUCCUGUUAUUUAAUAAAUCAGAUAGUUCAAUAUAUAAAAGAACCACCUGUUUGAUGAAUUCAGUAUAAAUAAAUAAAAAAAGGAUCUGUACCUGAAUCUCAAUGAGGAUGAUGGAGUAAGAGUAGGCAAAAGCUAUGUUCCCAAGUGCUUGGAAGCUCCUCCAUAUUUUUUGAGUUUGUGUGACAGUGCCAAUGCUAAUCCCAGUGAG
RNAcentral lists this long non-coding RNA (374 nucleotides) under Vitis vinifera (wine grape). RNAcentral describes it as "long non-coding RNA (VVIN_LNC005895)". The record is from RNAcentral. Lineage: Eukaryota; Viridiplantae; Streptophyta; Magnoliopsida; Vitales; Vitaceae.